This 509-nucleotide ribosomal RNA is filed under the name uncultured bacterium. RNAcentral describes it as "bacterial SSU rRNA". It matches the Rfam family "Bacterial small subunit ribosomal RNA", at positions 28 to 520 of the family's 1533-position model. The record is from RNAcentral.
GACGAACGCUGGCGGCGUGCCUAAUACAUGCAAGUCGAGCGGACCAAAGGGAGCUUGCUCCUGGAGGUCAGCGGCGAACGGGUGAGUAACACGUGGGCAACCUGCCUGUAAGACUGGGAUAACAUCGAGAAAUCGGUGCUAAUACCGGAUAAUAAAAAGAACUGCAUGGUUCUUUUUUGAAAGAUGGUUUCGGCUAUCACUUACAGAUGGGCCCGCGGCGCAUUAGCUAGUUGGUGAGGUAACGGCUCACCAAGGCAACGAUGCGUAGCCGACCUGAGAGGGUGAUCGGCCACACUGGGACUGAGACAGGCCCAGACUCCUACGGGAGCAGCAGUAGGGAAUCUUCCGCAAAUGGACGAAAGUCUGACGGAGCGACGCCGCGUGAGUGAUGAAGGUUUUCGGAUCGUAAAACUCUGUUGUUAGGGAAGAACAAGUGCCGUUCGAAAGGGCGGCACCUUGACGGUACCUAACGAGAAAGCCACGGCUAACUACGUGCCAGCAGCCGACGG